AAGGAGCCUUACAUCUUGGCGAAACAAGAUGAUG
RNAcentral lists this small RNA (34 nucleotides) under Anaerobutyricum hallii. Its description in RNAcentral is "CRISPR_Spacer". The record is from RNAcentral. Lineage: Bacteria; Bacillati; Bacillota; Clostridia; Lachnospirales; Lachnospiraceae.